GCCAGCGCCAACCAAACCUACAAUCCUCCAGGUCCGCGAAAGUAAAAGUUCCGCGGCGCAAGGGGAACCCCCUCCUCAGCGGAACCCUGCCGCCCCCCUCCUGGAGAGGGGGAAGGUCGCCGUCGCAUGCGACCAAAGAGAGGGAAAAUAAGUUGUUAUAUAUUAAUAAUUCUGGUAUCUUUCACCGUUACUCGAAAUACUCGCGAAUCAACUGGUGCCGUGUCGUGGUGCGAAAGUUCGGACUUUUUGGACUUGUGGUAGAGUGCUUUGUGGAAAAUUUGGAGUGAUUGGAGUAACCAUGAAGUUUCUGGUAAGCUGUCAGCCUCGUCAAUCUCGUUUAUAGUUGUAAUCUCAUCUUUGGUUAUAUUCGGACUCCUGGCCACGUCAGUCCUCGCCGACCGACCCUCCUCCAUCAGCGACAACAAAGCUGAGGCGGCAUCCUCCUCCAGCUCGAAGACCCACGAAAAGCGCACGACCGCCUACAGCGUGUACGGGCCGCCUAGCCAGCACGCGCACAAUGGACCAACACCCUCCUACUCGCCGGGCUACGUGAGCAGCUACGCACCCACCUACGCCUCAGGGGUGGACUACUCGGCACCCGCCACCUACGCCAUCGCCGCCCCCUACGCCGCGGCAACCCAUGGCUCGUACGCUAUUGCAGCGCCAUACCCAGCACCCGUAGCCGUCGCUGUUCCCGCCGCUAACUACGCCGCCGUGCCCACAGCCAACUACGCCGCCGUACCCGCACCCAACUACGCAGCUAUUGCCCAUCCCCUCUUCGUGCCCAACAGCGGCGUAGACUCCCACGCACUCGCCUACCCCGCUGCAACCUACGCAGGCCCUAGCCUUGGCGUCUAUCCCGCCAUCGGCAUCCCUGCCAACUACCCCCCUGCCGGCUACAACUUCCCCCCACCCAACUACGUACCCUACACGGGACCGAACCGCGAGACCUACACUAACGCCGAUGGAACCAGAGUCGGUCCAGUGACUUUUGGACCUGGACACGGAGGUGUCUACCACCCACCCUCUUUCGCCUACUCACCUUCCGGUUACGAACCAAGCACCAACUACGAGAAACCCUCCUCCUCGUAUGGCCCACCCUCUUACUCUGCUCCAUCUCCAUCUUACGGCUCACCUUCAUUCACCCCCUCUUACUCCCCGUCAUACUCCGGACCGUCAUACUCCUCGGGUUCGCCCUCAUACUCCUCAGGAAGUGCAACAAGUUUCUCCACCACCCACAACUACACCCCCUCCAGGCCAAGUUCCUCCUACGGACCGCCGUCACCUCCAUCUACGUAUGGACCCCCUUCGCCUAACUCUUACAGCCCUUCGUCUUCUUACGGACCCCCGUCUCCUUCCUACAGCUCUCCGUCGUCUUCCUAUGGACCUCCUUCUCCCUCCUACAGCUCUCCCUCUUCCUCCUACGGACCACCUGGACCAUACGCUUCUUCAUCGGAAAAUACCUACAACACAAUUAGGUACAGUGGACCAACUGACUACGCCAAACAUUAAAUUUAGGUAGGUGAAUUUACACCAGUCAUGAAGCCUUAUCUGCAAAGACAGAUACAUUGAUAUUGAAUGUAAAAUCCGGUAAUAACUCAGUCAUUUUCAAACCAAACGACUUCCGGUGAGCUCCGCCUAGCAAAUUAGUUUCCUGUUUAAUUUUUCUCGGUGUAGCCCGUUAAAUCUUGAUACUUUUUAAGAUUUAGUUUUUAGCACAAGAGAAAAAAAAAAACAUUCUGGUGGUGAUCAGUUCAGAACUAGGCCAUUUGUUUCCGCGAAUCGACAAAAGGUCAUCAACCUAAUCUUGCAUUCGUGAAGCAAAUGGGCGCAGAGCACAGCUUAUCUAAAGUUAUUUGCCAUAACGGUACGAUUUUUUGUCGUUUUUAUGUGACUGACCAUGAUUCAGUCUUACAAACUUUAAAGAUAAGUUUUUGCUCGUUUUCCUUUUUUUGGCACGUUCUUUCCGAUUGAGUAAUGACCCCUCGGAUUAAAGAGGAAAAAAAGUGUCAUACUUUCGAGAAAAAAAAAUUAAAUAUUUUUACUGCAUAUUUUAUCCGUUGCUUCAGGAUAUACGGCAGUAAGGAGGUAAAAAAAAGAUUUCUCUCAUUUCUUUCAGCUUAAAUGAUAUGCCUACACCCCUCCCCCUUCCAUGUCAACAAAAGAAUCUCAAAAGUAAUUCACGAUUGAAAACUCAUUUGAAUAAAAUUGUGUGCAUUUUGGCGCUUUCCCAGCUCCUUCAAUUUAGCAGGGCAAAAUACUGUAUACCAGCACAGAAUAAAAUGUCAAUAAUUAUGUACACGUGUAUCAUGAAGAUGCAGCUAAAUUUCUCAGCUCGUUAGGGAAACAAAAACCUCACAUAUCUUGUAGGUAAGGCUUCAUGCAAAUGUUUUACAAAAAUUAUUUUUCAUGCGUACCUAAAAGUUAUUUUCAAAAAAACUAUAAGAAUCGCCAAAAAGGGCUCAAACUGCCUCCUCAGCUCGUAAGUUCUGUACAUUUAUAAGUAGGUUAAGCUAUUUCUCAUUUUUACCUUAUAUUGUGAUGAACUUUGAUAAUAGGGAGUUACCUUAUCGUUACCCUGACUUUAUACUAGAUUGAGCCCGACUCGCCAACCUUAUUUAUUGUUUCUUUGUUUACACUUAUCCGUCCAUUGAAUGUUGUAAAUAUAGUUGUAAACGCAUACUUACACCGGUUAUAGUAUUUUACUGUCCGAAAAAAGCAACGUAUUUCCGAAAAUUUUCGGCGGUUACUUUUCCAGCUUGAUUUCAUUAAAGUAAAGCCUUUUACCUUUCAUUACACGAUAAAGUAAUAUCCGAAGGAUAUCUAAAAGGCUGUAUCCUUUAACCAUACUUUACAUCAAUAUAUAUUUCUCAAUUAAUUAUUGAAGUUUCAGAAAAGAGUACAUCAAUCUAUGUCUUAUACACAUUUUCAAAAAACUUCGAUGGAGAACGCGGCACAAUCUGUGCUGUUUAAGAGUGCGCACGGUGAGUAAGAUAGGUAAUCGAGUGGUGUCAGAAUUUCUCUUUUUCCCAGCGGAAAAUUGCAGUUACAUUCAUUCUAUUGUUUUCUCUUUCGAAUUUCAUCUCAUAAAUGUGUACUAAAGUUUUGUCAGUAAAACGAAUUGUUCCUACAACGGAAAGGAAGUUUCCCAAAAACUUACUUAAUAGAUUUAUUUGCAAGUAUAUUAUAUUAAUUUUUCAUGGUGCCAACUUGUUUAGAUUGUAAAUACAAGAUCGUAUCACUUUUGCAUAGGUACUGUUAGAAUUUUAAUUUGUACACCUAAAUUUUUCGAAAAUAAAUACACUCUCACUUAAUCCAGUGUUAUCAUUAAUAUCAAAACCCUUGAUGACGGUGCAUUAAUUAUCAGCAAAUUUCAUCAUUUGCAGGAUAAUCGGUUUUUGAAAGGAGAUGAUACAAGACAAGUAUGUAAUGGUGAAAACCCCCGUUCUGUUACGUUUAAUUUUCAGAGGAGUAAGUUAAAUUUCUCAAAACUAGAUUAUUAUAAAUACACUCUAUGCUAUCAUUCCCCCUUUCUGAAGCCUUUGCAUCAAUAUUUGGGGCAGUUUUAGCAGAAAAAAGGCAACUCUCAUAAUCAUUAAAGUGUAUUCGUAGUUUUAAAAUUGGAAGUUCUCUCAGGGUAUUUAAUUCCUGUCAUGAGAUUAUGUUUAAUUUUCUAACUUUAAAUUUAAAUUCCUCAAAAUUAGAUUAUUAUGAGUUAGCUUUGUACUAAAAAUGUACUUCUUGUUAUAAACUCAAUCCGGCGCCCGCCAAAACUAGCAUUAGAAGUGUCUGAAAUGGCCUCAUAAAUACCGCUGCAAAUAAUUGCAAGGAAGCAAUUACAGAAUUUAUUGACUUUCUUGCAAGAUGUAUGACUCCACGUUUUUCAUGGGGCGAAAACUUUUUAGAAGUAUAUUACGACUCCAGCUAUUCCACUCUUCCUUCCUGAUGAGAUGAGUUCACUGGUCUUGAGGAAAGUGAAGAUGAAAUUGCCGAGUGACGGCUGCAUUUUAACAAACUCGGCACUUAGAUUUUUCAAACUAGUUUCUAAAAAUAUUGUCUACGGUCUUCCUCGCUCAAGAUGGUAUGUUUCGUUAUGGAAGAGCUUCUGAAUCUUUCCGGUUGAGCUUAUUCAAGGAAUGAAAGUAGCUUGUUCUAACCAGUUCUCAACAAUGACGCAUGAUCAGAUGAAUAAUUUUAGCUCUCUGAAAUUCUUUGAGCCCAAAUGUCAUCUUUCUCUAAUUCACAAAAUGUGACAGGCAAAAAGGAGUCAGAUAAGAUGUGCGUUAGGAUAGAGAAAAAAAUCAAAUAACAAAGCACGUAUCUAACAAGACAUGGUGUUGAUGUUCAGUCAUAAAGACGUAUUUCUAUCAAACGGAACUAUGUGGAUUAUGACGCGAGCCCUGUUAUGCAUAUCUUCGUAUGGGUCUCAGGGCUCAUGUCUUAAUGCACAUACCUCCGUUUGAUAGAGAUACGUCCAUAUUUAGUAUUGAAACGUCAGGGCAGCUGUGCUUUGAGUUCACUGAGGGUCAUUUAAAGGGGCUAAUGUGUAUGACCUUCAUCCAAUGUAAUAGAUAGAGGGAGAGGAACUCGUAAAUCAGGGCAAUAUUGUGAACAUUCACUACACUUACAAUUUGCGUGGAAUUCAAAUGUUACUGAAGCGAGACACGCAAUGCUCGCCAAUAAAAAACAUUAUCUGAUGGUACAAAAUAAUGAAUAACUUUCCCAAUCAUCAAAGUACAUGUAACAGAUGCUAAGUCUUAAUGUCUGAGCUUCCUUCAGUUCAGGUAUGCGUAUAGCUAUAAAUUAGGUUGUGCUAUCACCACCACUGCAUGCGUUUUAUUUCUCUAUCUAUAGGUAUUCCAUGAAUCUCGGUAAAAUUUACCUUCGUUCAUCCCAAGUGUUUCUCCCUUCGCAAAUUUCUGAAAUAAAGGGUUAAUACGUGGUUCUUUUAUUUCAUUUCAUGUCACACUGUUGUACUCCAGUGAUGCAAUAAGAAAAACACGUAAGUAUUAUCCACUUUCACCGCUACACUUUUUUUUUCAGAAAGUUUACUUUUUGAUAAACGACCGAUGAUCGUCUCUGCAUCAAAUUUCGUCGGAUUCUUUCGCCUAUUCGAAAAUAUUCUCUGAAUAUUUCAUGUGGACCACGCAAGAAAUUCUUCCUUGAAAACAUGAAAUAUUAGCCGAGUUGUUUAAAUGCCACGAAUAAGAUGCGUAUGGCUAUAUGCCGUAGUUUGUAGUUUCACUGCAACGAUGCCUAUACAGACUCAAUGAUCCUUCGAGAUUCAAUUCCUUGUGAGAGGGCGAGCAACAGCUCCAUCAGUGACAGAGCUAUGAAAUUGAAUACUUUGGUUACAUAUUCACGUCCCAUCAAAAUUACAUUGCAGUAAAAUAAACUGAGCGAUUCUUGUGUUAAAGACAAGUUUAGUUCGGGCACUCAACGCCCGAGAAACACAAUUUCUACUCACUCUCCUACUCCGCCGCCUCGCUAUACAUAACUCGCGCUUUCAUAAGAAAGAAUUUGCUUGAGUGAUGCUGCCGAAAAUUUAUAUCAUUCGUAGUUCGCGAGUUGGGCCCUCUUUCGUCUAUAAAAUAGUUACGAUGCUGUCUAUUCCGCCAUCCACGCAACUUGCGAGAGAGAAAGCAGUCCGGGUUUUAGGGAAAAAUCGGACACCCGCUGCCUCGGUUGAUUGCAAAGAUAGAGUUUCGGUUUAUGGCUCUGCUGGUCUGCAUCAUUUCGAAGUGUGAGAGAAUGCCGCUGAAUUUCAGUAGCAUUUGCAAUCGGCGAGCCAGGUUGGCGUCGAAAUAUAUCACGUGUUCUGUGGGGCAUUAAGCCUUUUUAACGUUUCAACGAGAGAAAAAGUUUGAUUUCAAUACGAAAUUAAAACUAGUACUUAAAAAUAGUGGUAAUUAUAACAAUCAUGAAGGGGUUCAAUUUAACUCUAAAGAAAUGUUCAAUUCAUUUUGCUCGACAAUAAGUGCACCCGCUUGAGCUUCAUUAUACCAUUUCAAAAAUAUACAAAUACGCACACUCAUGAUGUCAUGAUAAAAAUGCAUCUCUCAUUUGUGUCCUUUUUGUCCUAUUUCUUGUUUACCUUGCCAAUUGGAAUUUAACGAAUAAAUUGUUUCU
RNAcentral lists this long non-coding RNA (6129 nucleotides) under Bemisia tabaci. RNAcentral describes it as "lncRNA ENSSSA2NGG003589". The record is from RNAcentral. Lineage: Eukaryota; Metazoa; Arthropoda; Insecta; Hemiptera; Aleyrodidae.